UCGUGCUAGAUGGGGAGAUAGCGGUGCCCUGUAACUCGCAAUCCGCUACAGCGAGGUCGAAGUCCCGGUCGAGGCGCACCGAUAUAGGGUCUGCCUCCGGGGUCUGGCGUCGAUGGCCGGGCCUCACGCAGCGUCGCUCUGUGAACCCCGUCAGGCCCGGAAGGGAGCAGCGGUAAGCGGAAUACGGCGGGUGCCGUGAGAUCACCUGGCCGGAGCUGGAGUCCGGAUGUCCCGCCUGGGUCGGUCGUGUCGGAGCCGGGUGCACGG
RNAcentral lists this signal recognition particle RNA (267 nucleotides) under Candidatus Tanganyikabacteria bacterium. Its description in RNAcentral is "signal recognition particle sRNA large type". It matches the Rfam family "Bacterial large signal recognition particle RNA". From Rfam's summary of the family: The signal recognition particle (SRP) is a universally conserved ribonucleoprotein involved in the co-translational targeting of proteins to membranes. Archaeal SRP consists of a 7S RNA and homologues of the eukaryotic SRP19 and SRP54 proteins. Lineage: Bacteria; Bacillati; Candidatus Sericytochromatia. The record is from RNAcentral.